AUGAAGAAUUAUGUGUUAACAUCUAUACUCUCGAGUUGCUUUUGUAACUCAGUGACAUAGUUGCAAGUAUCAUAUACGUUGCAGUACUAUUAUCAUCAUUGCGUUUACUAUAGUAGCCACUUCUUCCUUAAUCGAGUCAUCACCAGGUGUCUCUGGAAGGGGCUACUCAAGGACGUGACCAACUUUCUCAUGCAUAAGAACAAUUUUCAAAUUGCAGUGUCAAUUAAGAAAAUAUAGUUUGGUUGUUGGCAUCUAGU
Molecule: long non-coding RNA, 257 nt
Filed under: Olea europaea (common olive)
Lineage: Eukaryota; Viridiplantae; Streptophyta; Magnoliopsida; Lamiales; Oleaceae
Description: long non-coding RNA (OEUR_LNC009026)
Source: RNAcentral